AGUGAACGCUGGCGGUAGGCCUAACACAUGCAAGUCGAACGGCAGCACAGUAAGAGCUUGCCCUUACGGGUGGCGAGUGGCGGACGGGUGAGGAAUACAUCGGAAUCUACUUUUUCGUGGGGGAGAACGUAGGGAAACUUACGCUAAUACCGCAUACGACCUACGGGUGAAAGCAGGGGAUCUUCGGACCUUGCGCGAGUGAAUGAGCCGAUGUCGGAUUAGCUAGUUGGCGGGGUAAAGGCCCACCAAGGCGACGAUCCGUAGCUGGUCUGAGAGGAUGAUCAGCCACACUGGAACUGAGACACGGUCCAGACUCCUACGGGAGGCAGCAGUGGGGAAUAUUGGACAAUGGGCGCAAGCCUGAUCCAGCCAUACCGCGUGGGUGAAGAAGGCCUUCGGGUUGUAAAGCCCUUUUGUUGGGAAAGAAAAGCAGCAGGUUAAUACCCCGCUGUUCUGACGGUACCCAAAGAAUAAGCACCGGCUAACUUCGUG
This 492-nucleotide ribosomal RNA is filed under the name uncultured bacterium. RNAcentral's name for it is "partial 16S ribosomal RNA". It matches the Rfam family "Bacterial small subunit ribosomal RNA", at positions 29 to 507 of the family's 1533-position model. The record is from RNAcentral.